GAAUUUAAUAUAAAUAUUAAUUAUUUAAUUUAAUUUUUAAAAAAAGUAAUAUUUAUAUUUUAUUGGGAGGAUAAUUUAAUUUAAUUAACUUAAAGUAUAAAAAAAUCAUUAAUUAAUGGAUUAAUUAAAAUAAAAAUUAAUAAUAAAUUUUUUUAUUUUUAAUAUUAAUAAUUAAUAAAUAGUAUUUUAAAAAUUAAUUAUAUAUUUAUAUUUAAAUAAGAAAAUUUAAAAAAAAAUUAAUUACCUUAGGGAUAACAGCAUAAUAUUUUUUGAAAGAUCAUAUUAAAAAAAAUGUUUGU
RNAcentral lists this ribosomal RNA (299 nucleotides) under Gigantiops destructor. RNAcentral's name for it is "partial large subunit ribosomal RNA". Lineage: Eukaryota; Metazoa; Arthropoda; Insecta; Hymenoptera; Formicidae. The record is from RNAcentral.